Molecule: ribosomal RNA, 460 nt
Filed under: uncultured bacterium
Lineage: Bacteria
Description: partial 16S ribosomal RNA
Rfam family: Bacterial small subunit ribosomal RNA
Source: RNAcentral
CCUACGGGAGGCAGCAGUGAGGAAUAUUGGUCAAUGGCCGGAAGGCUGAACCAGCCAUGCCGCGUGAAGGUCAGUGCCCUAUGGGCGUUAAACUUCUUUUGUGCGGGAGCAAUAAUGGUCACGUGUGGCCAGACGAGAGUACCGUACGAAUAAGCAUCGGCUAACUCCGUGCCAGCAGCCGCGGUAAUACGGGGGAUGCAAGCGUUUUCCGGAUUUAUUGGGUUUAAAGGGUGCGUAGGCUGUGAGGUAAGGCAGCGGGUGAAUGCCCCCGCUCAACGGGGUGAAGUGCUAUUGAUACUGGCUUGCUUGAAUGCGGAUGCCGUAGGAGGAAUGUGUGGUGUAGCGGUGAAAUGCAUAGAUAUCACACAGAACACCGAUUGCGAAGGCAUCUCACGAAUCCGCGAUUGACGCUGAUGCACGAAGGCGUGGGUAUCGAACAGGAUUAGAUACCCCGGUAGUC